GAUGAACGCUGGCGGCGUGCCUAAUACAUGCAAGUCGAGCGAACGGACGAGAAGCUUGCUUCUCUGAUGUUAGCGGCGGACGGGUGAGUAACACGUGGAUAACCUACCUAUAAGACUGGGAUAACUUCGGGAAACCGUAGCUAAUACCGGAUAAUAUUUUGAACCGCAUGGUUCAAAAGUGAAAGACGGUCUUGCUGUCACUUAUAGAUGGUUCCGCGCUGCAUUAGCUAGUUGGUAAGGCAACGGCUUACCAAGGCAACGAUGCAUAGCCGACCUGAGAGGGUGAUCGGCCACACUGGAACUGAGACACGGUCCAGACUCCUACGGGAGGCAGCAGUAGGGAAUCUUCCGCAAUGGGCGAAAGCCUGACGGAGCAACGCCGCGUGAGUGAUGAAGGUCUUCGGAUCGUAAAACUCUGUUAUUAGGGAAGAACAUAUGUGUAAGUAACUGUGCACAUCUUGACGGUACCUAAUCAGAAAGCCACGGCUAACUACGUG
RNAcentral lists this ribosomal RNA (497 nucleotides) under uncultured bacterium. RNAcentral's name for it is "partial 16S ribosomal RNA". It matches the Rfam family "Bacterial small subunit ribosomal RNA", at positions 28 to 507 of the family's 1533-position model. The record is from RNAcentral.